This 477-nucleotide ribosomal RNA is filed under the name uncultured bacterium. Its description in RNAcentral is "partial 16S ribosomal RNA". It matches the Rfam family "Bacterial small subunit ribosomal RNA", at positions 30 to 507 of the family's 1533-position model. The record is from RNAcentral.
AUUGAACGCUGGCGGCAUGCCUUACACAUGCAAGUCGAACGGUAACAGGUUAGGCUGACGAGUGGCGAACGGGUGAGUAAUACAUCGGAACGUGCCCAGUAGUGGGGGAUAGCCCGGCGAAAGCCGGAUUAAUACCGCAUACGACCUAAGGGUGAAAGGGGGGGAUCGCAAGACCUCUCGCUAUUGGAGCGGCCGAUGUCAGAUUAGCUAGUUGGUGGGGUAAAAGCUCACCAAGGCGACGAUCUGUAGCUGGUCUGAGAGGACGACCAGCCACACUGGGACUGAGACACGGCCCAGACUCCUACGGGAGGCAGCAGUGGGGAAUUUUGGACAAUGGGCGCAAGCCUGAUCCAGCCAUGCCGCGUGCGGGAAGAAGGCCUUCGGGUUGUAAACCGCUUUUGUCAGGGAAGAAAUCCUUUGGGUUAAUACCUCGGGGGGAUGACGGUACCUGAAGAAUAAGCACCGGCUAACUACGUG